Molecule: long non-coding RNA, 838 nt
Organism: Diabrotica virgifera virgifera (western corn rootworm)
Lineage: Eukaryota; Metazoa; Arthropoda; Insecta; Coleoptera; Chrysomelidae
Exons: 2
Source: RefSeq, a predicted model, not a curated record
AAUUAUUGGUCGCGUUCACCAGAAUAAUCCGAGUGCAAUCCGAUUAAUUUGCGCUGAAACGCUGACAGUUUUUUUACUAGUGAACGACUGACGUUUGACAUUCGAUUGAGAGUGUUCUGUGUUCCAUUUGUUUAUUUUUUUAUUCUUUGUUUAUAUAAUUUAUAACCUAGACAGUUUUGUUUUUAAAUAAAACUGAAACUGUGUCUAAGCUAAAAUGGAUAAUAUUCUUGAAGAAUUUUUGUUUGGGGACGAAAUUAGCAAAUGCCGUUAUACAUUUAGCAGAUGUACCUGCCUCACAAUUAUUCCAGAAGGAUGAGAUGAAAUUAAAUAUAUAUAAACCAUAAUUCAAUAUCCAAUUUAGAGAACAUUUUCGUAUGUCCAGAACUACUUUCCAGGAACUAUUUAAUUGUAUUGGUCAUAUCCACCAAUUUGAAAACAGAAUAAUUCUAUUGGAAAAAAUUAAUGUUUAUGAUGUGGAUGCUAAGUAAACCAGAGAAUUUGUUGCUGGGGAUACGUUUGGUUUGCCAAAGAGCUCUGGACAUAAGAUUUUCACCCAAAUAAUAUAGAAUUACAAAAAAUUGGAAAUAACUAAUCUUGAAUAUCAAUGUGUAUAUUGAGUUUAAUUUUAUUGUAAAUAUUCUAUAAUAUAAUUUUAUUGUAAAUAUUGUAUUAACACAUUUGUGGACACAUCUUCAUAUGCAGACAGUAAUUUCCCUUUGUAAGUACAUGCAUAUUAGUCGUAUCUGCGAAUGGGUUAAUUGUAAAUCGUAAUCAAUAAAAAUUUUUUGUGAAUCAAUAAAAAACUGGUUUGUUUGAAAAUAAAUGUAGUACAAAUGUG